This 406-nucleotide ribosomal RNA is filed under the name uncultured bacterium. Its description in RNAcentral is "partial 16S ribosomal RNA". It matches the Rfam family "Bacterial small subunit ribosomal RNA", at positions 30 to 526 of the family's 1533-position model. The record is from RNAcentral.
AUUGAACGCUGGCGGCAGGCCUAACACAUGCAAGUCGAGCGAGCGGAGGACGGGUGCGUACUGUUUGGGAACCUGCCCGCUAGCGGCGGAUAACUCAUGGAUACGGUGGCUAAUCCCGCAUACUGUCGGCUGUACCCAUGUGGUAUUAGCUCGUAGGUAAGGUAAUGGCUUACCUAGGCGACGAUCCUUCGCUGGUCUGAGAGGAUGAUCAGACACACUGGGACUGAGAAACGGCCCAGACUCCUACGGGAGGCAGCAGUGGGGAAUAUUGGACAAUGGGCGAAAGCCUGAUGCAGCCAUGCCGCGUGUAUGAAGAAGGUCCUAGGGUUGUAAAGUACGUUCAGUCGGGAAGCGUUACCGACAGAAGAAGCAACGGCUAACUCCGUGCCAGCAGCCGCGGUAAUAC